CGUAUAUUAAAGUUGUUGCAGUUAAAAAGCUCGUAGUUGAAUUUCGGGCUCGGUAGGUUGGUCCGCCCUAUGGUAUGUACUGGCUUUACUGGUUCCUCCUUCUUGAAGAACUGUAAUGUCAUUAAUUUGGUGUUGCAGGGAAUCAGGACUGUUACUUUGAAAAAAUUAGAGUGUUUAAAGCAGGCAA
This 187-nucleotide ribosomal RNA is filed under the name uncultured Glomus. Its description in RNAcentral is "partial 18S ribosomal RNA". It matches the Rfam family "Eukaryotic small subunit ribosomal RNA", at positions 598 to 787 of the family's 1831-position model. Lineage: Eukaryota; Fungi; Glomeromycota; Glomeromycetes; Glomerales; Glomeraceae. The record is from RNAcentral.